This 4656-nucleotide long non-coding RNA is filed under the name Capsella rubella. RNAcentral describes it as "long non-coding RNA (CRUB_LNC004103)". Lineage: Eukaryota; Viridiplantae; Streptophyta; Magnoliopsida; Brassicales; Brassicaceae. The record is from RNAcentral.
UUGAGUUAAGCUUGAAAAAGAAGAAGACUUGAAGGACAAGUUAUUAUAAUCCUACCGAGAUAUGGAUUAGGGUUAAUGGUUUUAUGGUUUUGUAAAGUCCUAUUUGGAUUAGGACUUAGGUGGUUUUGGUUUUAUAUAAAUAGAGAAGUCGAGUUAUGACUUUAGGUGUGAGAUUAAGAGAGAUUGUUGAGAGCUUUAGUUUUGAGGAAUUUUCUAAAGCAAUAAAAGAAAGUGUCUUUUAUAUUUCUUGAUCUCUUGAGUUACAAGUUUGUUAAACAAUAUUUGGUAUCAGAGCAAAACCAAGGUUGUUUAAAACAUGGCUGAGUUGGUUAAUGUCCAAACAAAGCCUAAAGAAAGCAGCUCCUCCUCCAUCCAAUGCCCAAUGCUUACAAGCACAAAUUACACGGUUUGGUCCAUCCGUAUGCAGCUCUUGCUCAAGGUUCAUAAAGUGUGGGAAACAGUUGAACCCGGUGAUGAAGACGAUGACAAGAACAAUAUGGCGAGAGCAUUGCUCCUCCAGUCCGUUCCCGAGUCCAUGGUUGUGCAAAUCGGACAUCUUAUAACAUCAAAAGCUGUAUGGGAUGCGAUCAAGGUUAGAUAUGUGGGUGCUGAUCGUGUACGCGAAGCUCGACUCCAAACCCUGUUCUCUGAUUUUGAAAAAUUGAAGAUGAAAGACAGUGAUACCAUCGAUGAUUUCGUUGGUAAAAUCACCGAACUAACCUCAAAAUCCGCAACCUUAGGAGAAACGAUUGAGGAACCAAAACUUAUUAAAAAGCUCCUCAACGGCCUGCCUCGGAAACGGUACAUCCUCCUUGUUGCAUCUCUUGAACAGAACCUUGAUCUCAAAACUACAAGUUUUGAAGAUAUUGUCGGACGCCUAAAAUCUUAUGAAGAAAGAACGCGUGAUGAUGAAGAAGAUGAGCAAGCUCCGGGCCAAGACAAACUCAUGUAUGCUAACUCGGAAGCACAAUCAGGUCAAGGAAAUUAUGAGUCACGCGGAAGAGGCUCUGGUGGAAGAUAUGGAGGUCGUGGCAGAGGACGAGGAAGAGGACGAUAUGGCUACCAACAAAGGGAUCCUGCAACCGUAACCUGUUUCCGGUGCGAUAAACUCGGGCAUUACGCUUCUACAUGUCCCGACAGGUUACUUAAACUUCAAGAAGCCGAAGAAAACAAGAAAACCGAGGAAGAUACACAUGAAGCAGAAGAACUAAUGAUGCACGAAGUCGUUUAUCUUAACGAAAAAAAUGUAACUCCUAAUGCUCUAACAACACAAGGUGAUGCAAGCAAUAUAUGGUACUUGGACAACGGAGCGAGCAAUCACAUGUCAGGACACCUUUCUUAUUUCUCUAAGAUUGAUGAAACUGUGACUGGAAAAGUACGGUUUGGAGAUGAUUCACGCAUUGACAUCAAAGGGAAAGGAUCUGUUCUCUUUAACAUCAAUGGUGGAACAAAGGUUCUGAAUAAUGUUUACUAUAUACCAGAUUUAACAAGUAACAUUAUCAGCCUUGGACAAGCCACCGAAUCCGGCUGUAACAUUCAAAUGAAAGGUGACCUCUUGACAUUACAUGACCGAGACGGCAGGUUACUCGUCAAAGCAAGACGUUCCAAAAAUCGUUUAUACAAAGUCUUGCUGGAGGUUGAACCGGCGACAUGUCUUCACCUAGUAGCAAUGAGCGAGUCAGCAACUUGGCAUGCAAGGUUAGGGCAUAUUGGUUUUGAAUCCAUGAAACUAAUGGUGAAGAAGGAAUUGGUUCUUGGCAUGCCAAAUUUCAAGAUUGAGAAAGAUACUUGUGCUUCAUGUUUGCUUGGAAAACAAGUAAGACACAGUUUCCCAAAGGCAACCUCGUUCCGAGCAUCAAGUCGACUCGAGCUUAUUCACGGAGAUCUCUGUGGCCCAAUCUCACCUCCAACUCCAGCAAAGAACAGGUACAUAUUUGUCUUGAUUGAUGACCAUUCUCGUUAUAUGUGGUCUAUCUUAUUGAAGGAGAAGAGUGAGGCAUUCGGAAAAUUUAAGAAGUUCAAGAAAAUUGUCGAGCAAGAAACAGGUUCCACUAUCAAAACAUUCCGCACAGAUAGAGGUGGAGAGUUUCUCUCCCAAGAAUUCCAAAGUUUUUGUGAAGACUCAGGCAUUCAAAGACAUUUGACUGCUCCAUACUCACCACAGCAAAACGGGGUAGUGGAGAGGCGAAACAGAACACUUAUGGAAAUGACUCGAAGCAUUUUGAAAUACAUGGGCAUUCCAAAUUAUCUUUGGGGAGAAGCAGUGAGACAUGCCACCUAUGUCAUCAACAGAGUAGCAACUAGAGUCUUAAACGCACAAACACCAUAUGAAGCUUACAAAGGAAGGAAACCAUGUAUUGAGCAUAUUCGCGUCUUUGGUUGCCUCGGAUAUGCAAAAGUAGAAACUCCACAUCUAAGAAAACUAGAUGAUCGAUCUCGUGUUUUAGUACACCUUGGAACUGAGCCGGGAUCGAAAGCAUAUCGGCUGUUAGACCCUACAACAAAGAAGAUAACGGUUAGUCGGGAUGUUGUGUUUGAUGAGAGCAAAAGCUGGAAGUGGAAUACUCUAGGUAACAAUUUUGAUACGAGACCAGGAAUGUUCACUGUUAACUUUGGAGAAUAUGGGAAUAAUGGAAUAAGAGAAGACCCUAUAGUUGAUGAAAACGAAGAAAGAAGAGGCGAGGAAGCUCUAAGUGACGGAUCAAGUAAUGAUAAUCAAGAUGUCAGCGAUGAUCAAAGGGUGGAAAGCGAUGAGGAAGGAGAAGAAUUGAACCACGAUCCACCUGUUGCUCCCAGAAGAUCAACCCGACAAGUCACAACACCAAAGUAUUUGGAAGAUUAUGUUAUGUUGGCCGUGAUCGAAUGUGAGAAAUUGUUACUAGCCGUAAACGAGGAGCCAUGGAGUUUUGACGAGGCAAAAGAAUUGGAAGAAUGGAGAGUCGCUUGUCAAGAAGAAAUCAAUUCAAUCAAUAAAAACAGAACAUGGGACUUAGUUGAUCUUCCACAAGGUGCUAAGGCAAUCGGAUUGAAGUGGGUGUUUAAAAUCAAAAGAAAUUCAGAUGGAAGCUUAAACAGGUAUAAGGCGAGACUUGUAGCCAAAGGUUACAUACAAAGGCAUGGUGUGGACUUCGACGAGGUGUUCGCUCCAGUGGCUCGUGUUGAAACUAUCCGACUUAUAAUUGCUUUGGCGGCUUCUAAUUCUUGGGAGAUACAUCAUCUUGAUGUAAAAACAGCCUUCCUGCAUGGUGAACUAAAGGAAGUAGUAUUUGUCUCACAACCAGAAGGUUUUGUAAUACAAGGAAGUGAAAGCAAGGUUUAUAAGCUUAACAAGGCACUUUACAGUUUAAGACAAGCCCCAAGAGCUUGGAAUGACAAACUCAAUGCGAUUCUUAAGGAGCUGAAGUUUGAAAGAUGUUCAAAGGAACCCUCACUAUAUCGAAAGCAAGAAAAGGAGCAUCUACUAGUCGUUGCUGUUUAUGUCGAUGAUCUACUUGUCACGGGAUCUAGUUUAAGUUUGAUACUUGACUUCAAAAGGGGAAUGGCAUCAAAGUUUGAAAUGAGCGACCUCGGAUUGUUAACGUAUUACCUUGGAAUAGAAGUUCUGCAAUAUAACGGUGGUAUCAUGUUAAAACAAGAGAGGUAUGCUGAAAAGAUUCUCGAAGAGACUAGCAUGAAAGAAUGUAACUCGGUUCUCAUACCAAUGGAAGCCGGUCUUGAACUUUCUAAAGCACAAAAGGAAGAACGUAUUGAUGAAACUGAAUAUCGAAGAAACAUUGGGUGUCUUCGUUACUUGCUUCAUACACGACCUGACCUCUCAUAUUGUGUGGGAGUUUUAAGUAGGUACAUGCAUGAACCAAGACGAUCACACGGAGCAGCAAUGAAAGCGGUACUUAGGUACUUACGUGGAACUUCCUCUUUUGGUUUGAAUUUUACUCAAGGAGACAAGACUGGUUUGGUUGGAUAUAGUGAUAGCUCACAUAAUGUGGAUAAAGAUGAUGGAAGAAGCACAGCUGGUCACAUUUUCUACCUCAACAACUUUCCAAUUACAUGGUGUACUCACAAACAGAACACAGUUGCAAUGUCUUCAUGUGAGGCUGAGUUUAUGGCGGGAACGGAAGCUGCAAAACAAGCCUUAUGGCUUCAAGACUUACUUGGAGAGAUCAUUGGUUCAUCUAGUGAAAAAGUCACAAUUCUCAUGGACAACAAGUCAGCACUAGCACUCACCAAGAAUCCUGUUUUCCAUGGAAGAAGCAAGCAUAUACAUAGGCGAUAUCACUUUAUUAGAGAAUGUGUUGAGAAUGGACAUAUAGAAGUGGAGUAUGUUCCGGGAAAGGAACAAAAGGCGGACAUUUUAACAAAGGCUUUAGGAAAGAUCAAGUUUAGGGAAAUGAGAGAGUUCAUUGGAGUUCAAGACUUGAAGAAGGAUGUGUUCAAGCUUAAGGGGGAGAAUGUUGAGUUAAGCUUGAAAAAGAAGAAGACUUGAAGGACAAGUUAUUAUAAUCCUACCGAGAUAUGGAUUAGGGUUAAUGGUUUUAUGGUUUUGUAAAGUCCUAUUUGGAUUAGGACUUAGGUGGUUUUGGUUUUAUAUAAAUAGAGAAGUCGAGUUAUGACUUUAGGUGUGAGAUUAAGAGAGAUUGUUGAGAGCUUUAGUUUUGA